GAUGAACGCUGGCGGCGUGCCUAAUACAUGCAAGUCGAGCGAGCGGACGAGAAGCUUGCUUCUCUGAUGUUAGCGGCGGACGGGUGAGUAACACGUGGAUAACCUACCUAUAAGACUGGGAUAACUUCGGGAAACCGGAGCUAAUACCGGAUAAUAUUUUGAACCGCAUGGUUCAAAAGUGAAAGACGGUCUUGCUGUCACUUAUAGAUGGAUCCGCGCUGCAUUAGCUAGUUGGUAAGGUAACGGCUUACCAAGGCAACGAUGCAUAGCCGACCUGAGAGGGUGAUCGGCCACACUGGAACUGAGACACGGUCCAGACUCCUACGGGAGGCAGCAGUAGGGAAUCUUCCGCAAUGGGCGCAAGCCUGACGGAGCAACGCCGCGUGAGUGAUGAAGGUCUUCGGAUCGUAAAACUCUGUUAUUAGGGAAGAACAUAUGUGUAAGUAACUGUGCACAUCUUGACGGUACCUAAUCAGAAAGCCACGGCUAACUACGUG
RNAcentral lists this ribosomal RNA (497 nucleotides) under uncultured bacterium. RNAcentral describes it as "partial 16S ribosomal RNA". It matches the Rfam family "Bacterial small subunit ribosomal RNA", at positions 28 to 507 of the family's 1533-position model. The record is from RNAcentral.